AUCUGAGGAUAGCACAGCAUCCAUUGACAUGCAGAUGUGUAAAAUUCCCCUAGGGUUGUUUGCCCUCUCUUGGAUUCUAUUGAGAAGCAGUUCCCUCUCAUCCUUCUUCCCAAUAGCAUCCUUCUGCUUACAUGCUCAUCCUUCUGCUUGUGUAACCUAUGCCAUUUUAGUAUUUGUGUUUUGUUUGGAUUUUAGGGCCCAGGGGACAAGAGCUCAGUGAGCAUGUGCAGUGGGCAGGAAAAGCCAAUUGCACUGCUAUAGAUACUGGAAUACCUGUCUGGAUGCACCUUUAUGGUUGGAGGGACUGCAGAACAGACAAAACUAAGAAGAUAUACAAAGGAUAUCAAGGUCAUUUUUGUGGUUUGAAGAAGGCCAUGAAUCUCAGCAGCCAAAAACCACGUCCAGCACCUAAAUCACAUUGACUCUGCACCUGUCAUCUAUUACAAGAUUGUAUUUAAUUGUAUCAUAGAAAGAAACAACUUCUGCUAUCUUAGCCAUAAAGCACAACAUUUAAAGAAAAAAAAGUACGUAUGGUCAAAACUAGAUACAUGCUGAAAAUAAACUAUGGAUGUUUUAC
Molecule: long non-coding RNA, 577 nt
Organism: Sphaerodactylus townsendi
Lineage: Eukaryota; Metazoa; Chordata; Lepidosauria; Squamata; Sphaerodactylidae
Exons: 3
Source: RefSeq, a predicted model, not a curated record